This 72-nucleotide transfer RNA is filed under the name Actinacidiphila oryziradicis. It matches the Rfam family "tRNA". From Rfam's summary of the family: Transfer RNA (tRNA) molecules are approximately 80 nucleotides in length. Their secondary structure includes four short double-helical elements and three loops (D, anti-codon, and T loops). The record is from Rfam by way of RNAcentral. Lineage: Bacteria; Bacillati; Actinomycetota; Actinomycetes; Kitasatosporales; Streptomycetaceae.
GGUCCCGUAGCGCAGAGGCAGGCGCACCUUCUUGGCAAGAAGGAUACGCCGGUUCGAAUCCGGCCGGGGCCA